Molecule: ribosomal RNA, 292 nt
Filed under: uncultured bacterium
Lineage: Bacteria
Description: partial 16S ribosomal RNA
Rfam family: Bacterial small subunit ribosomal RNA
Source: RNAcentral
GUGUCAGCCGCCGCGGUAAGACAGAGGGUGCAAACGUUGCUCGGAAUUACUGGGCGUAAAGCGCGUGUAGGCGGAUCGGAAAGUCGGGCGUGAAAGCCCUAGGCUCAACCUAGGAACUGCACCCGAAACUCCCAGUCUUGAGUGGUGGAGAGGGAAGUGGAAUUCCUGGUGUAGAGGUGAAAUUCGUAGAUAUCAGGAGGAACACCAGUGGCGAAGGCGGCUUCCUGGACACCAACUGACGCUGAGACGCGAAAGCGUGGGGAGCAAACAGGAUUAGAAACCCUCGUAGUCC